Non-coding RNA from Schistosoma curassoni, 45 nucleotides. The record is from Rfam. Lineage: Eukaryota; Metazoa; Platyhelminthes; Trematoda; Strigeidida; Schistosomatidae.
AUUUAGGUGACGAGUCCCAAAUAGGACGUAACGUACAUCCUAAAU